UGCCUUUUCUCAAUGGAGCUUACAAGAGGUCCAGCCAUUGAUUUUCGUCAAUCCCUCACAGACUUGACAGGCAGGUGGUGCGACUAUAAUCCUUGAAAGUCUUGGUGCAACAGUAAACAAGAUAAAUAAACGAAGUUCACAAACGCAUCAUUAUUGUCAUUGUGUGUUUACUUUGGGGAGGGUAUAUUUUAUUUGGGUUCUCUGUUACAAGUUGACCUCUGUCUCUCUCGAGUUUCUGUUCUUCUCUUCGUUUUUUGUCUUUCUUUUUUUAUUGCCUUCGUUGAUAGUGUUGCCUUUUGAUUGUUUGAUUUAUGUUUUCGGGUCCCUUUUACUUCUACUUUGUUUAUUUGCUCAUUCUAAUCUUCUCUGCUAUCGGUUAGGUUAUGCUUGUGGUUCUUCGUUUCUUCUCUGGUGUCUGUUAGGGGGUUUUUCAGGUUUAUUUUCUCUUUGCUCAGUUGUUUUGUUCACUAGCUAGCUUCAGGUUGCAGCUUUUCUAUCUUCUUGUUGUUUGUUGUUGCUCGCGCUUUAGGGAGUCUUUACUGGUAUGGCAGGUCCUUUUUUUCUGAUGAUGUGUUGUCUCUUCUUUCCCCACUUCUCUCUGUGUGGUUCUGGAAUCAUGUACGGCUUGGAUGAUUGUUGGGCUGUUUUUUCCUACCACACAAUAACACAAGGGGAAAUAAUCAAGUAAACUCAUGCCUAAGAUUCCAUGCAUUCUUUCUCAUUGUAAUUUGUUCAUAUCUAAUCGUUUCAAGGAAAUAAUAAACCACAUCCCAGAUAUUUUAUGAAACUACAUCUACAACAAAACAUGUCUUCCUAGUAAAAUAGAAGAUUUAAGAAAAACGACACUUCUUUGUAUUAUUAUCAGAAUAUGAUUUGUGUUUAAAUUCCUUCAACUGGCGACAAAUAUUAUAUGCAACCUAUGAACUCUUAUUAACGGAUAAGCUUACUGAAGAGCUGUGUCUAAAUCAAUAUUUUCUCAAAAAAAAAAAAAAAAAAAAGCCUUUGUACAUUCGUGAAACAUGGUCAAUUUCAAGAUGAAGCUGGAAUUUGGCCCAGAUAAUUACGUCCUUUCAUCUUAACAACAAAAUUUAAGUUGCAUCUUUGUACUAAAAAAAACGGCAAGCAUCCUGAUAUGCAUGGACAUAAAGAAAUUAUGAAGAAUAAUACUGAAGGCUUACCCAUGAAGGAACCAUUACUCGAAAGUUGAAAGGGUAAAUCCCAGCACAUACACCAAGUGACUCUAUGAUGUUAGGGGUUACUACAUCCUCAUAAGCAUGAAGAAAUGGAGGAGGAUAUUUAGCUAAAACCCAAAUCAAAUCAUAUAAAAAGAAAA
This is a long non-coding RNA of Populus trichocarpa (black cottonwood), 1333 nucleotides long. RefSeq lists it as uncharacterized. NCBI's taxonomy places the organism in Eukaryota, Viridiplantae, Streptophyta, Magnoliopsida, Malpighiales, Salicaceae. The transcript is spliced from 2 exons. The record is from RefSeq and is a predicted model, not a curated record.